This 454-nucleotide ribosomal RNA is filed under the name uncultured bacterium. RNAcentral describes it as "partial 16S ribosomal RNA". It matches the Rfam family "Bacterial small subunit ribosomal RNA", at positions 28 to 507 of the family's 1533-position model. The record is from RNAcentral.
GAUGAACGCUGACAGAAUGCUUAACACAUGCAAGUCUACUUGAACUUCGGUUUGGGUGGCGGACGGGUGAGUAACGCGUACAGAACUUGCCUCACAGAUAGGGACAACAUUUGGAAACGAAUGCUAAUACCUGAUAUUAUGAUUUUAGGGCAUCCUAGAAUUAUGAGAGCUAUAUGCACUGUGAGAGAGCUUUGCGUCCCAUUAGCUAGUUGGAGAGGUAACGGCUCACCAAGGCGAUGAUGGGUAGCCGGCCUGAGAGGGUGAUCGGCCACAAGGGGACUGAGACACGGCCCUUACUCCUACGGGAGGCAGCAGUGGGGAAUAUUGGACAAUGGACCAAGAGUCUGAUCCAGCAAUUCUGUGUGCACGAUGAAGUUUUUCGGAAUGUAAAGUGCUUUCAGUUGGGAAGAAAAAAAUGACGGUACCAACAGAAGAAGUGACGGCUAAAUACGUG